UGUGUGUGUGUGUGUGUGUGUGUGUAUAUAUAUAUAUAUAUAUAUAUACACAUACACAUAUAUAUAUACACACACACACACACACACAAU
Molecule: non-coding RNA, 90 nt
Organism: Pelobates cultripes (western spadefoot toad)
Lineage: Eukaryota; Metazoa; Chordata; Amphibia; Anura; Pelobatidae
Source: the annotation of a GenBank genome assembly